ACCCUAUUUUAUUUAUAGUGUAUGAAAACAAAUGUUAGUAUACAAUAUAUUGUUGGUUUCAUCUUAAUAUAUAUUUUCAAAAUAUUAAUAUUUUUAUAAGUUUUUAUAAUAUGUAGUUAAAGAAAUUGGUGGUCAAAGUUAUGCGUUGGCAAGCGUGUCCGGUCAAAACAGGUCAAGUAUUAAGGGACAGAGGGAGUAAUCAUUUUCAUUAAUAAACAACCAAAUACAAAGCAGAUCAAACAUACAAGAUUUUACCUGAUUUAAAUUCAAGUUGGUAGCAGGACAUCUUAUCAAGAACAAUAUGAUGACAAUUCUAUCUAUGGCUCUUGGGUUAAACCUUACAGUCUCUAGGUGUUCUUAAUUACAUAAUAGCAGUAGUGACACAAGUGUAGUAGUGGCCUUACGCAUCAUGAUUUGAGGUUAAUUUAGUGGGGUUUUUGGUGCAUUUGCAGGUCUGUAUUGUUCUCUUUGCAGGAGAUGAUACAGUUGCUAAUAUGUUCCCUUUAGUCUGUUCGGUGCUAAUACAGUUGGACCAAAUGUCGAGUUCAGAACAGGAGGGUUAAAACAACGACAAACUCUAAAUAUCUGGCCAAAGCUCUCAGUUCCAACAGUGAAAAAUAUCUCUCUAUUUGUUUCAGGAAGUCUAGCUUCUCGAUCUAUGGAGUUUCUCAAAAUUUUCUUUGCAGAUGGAAAACAGUGAACCUCUAAAGUAAAAGGAUGGGGAUUUCAGCUUUAUACACUCCAUUCACACUACUACAGCCCUAUACUGGUUGUUAGCUUUGUACUUUGCAGCUGAAAGAAGAAGGCAACUGGUGGCGGAAGAAACAACAUCCAAGAGUGGGCAAUUUACUUUCUUGAAUUGAUUCAAUCUAAGCACAAGUACAUUAGCAUGCCCUGUUAAGGAGAGUGUGAAGCUCUAUUCUAACAGCUUUUAAUUUGCUCAGUUAGCCAAAUUAAAGCAAUUCCAUAGAGAUUUUAAGCCAAAUUAAAGUUGCAGGGAAGUAGGGAAUUCAUAGUAGUUGUUGAAGACUUUAUAUGUUUUCACAGUAGCUGAAGACCUUAGUUGAAGACCUUAUCUUUUCUGUUUGAACUCAAGCAUUUUUUUCACCAUAAUUGACUAUGGUUAACUUUGCUAAGAGUUGUAUUACCUUUAUGGCUUUCAAGGUGUCGUUCU
Molecule: long non-coding RNA, 1174 nt
Organism: Spinacia oleracea (spinach)
Lineage: Eukaryota; Viridiplantae; Streptophyta; Magnoliopsida; Caryophyllales; Amaranthaceae
Exons: 3
Source: RefSeq, a predicted model, not a curated record